CCCAUGACUCUGGGAUAAGCCUGGGCAAACUGGGUCUAAUACCGGAUANNACCUUCCAUCGCAUGGUGGUUGGUGGAAAGCUUUUGUGGUUUUGGAUGGACUCGCGGCCUAUCAGCUUGUUGGUGGGGUAAUGGCCUACCAAGGCGACGACGGGUAGCCGGCCUGAGAGGGUGACCGGCCACACUGGGACUGAGACACGGCCCAGACUCCUACGGGAGGCAGCAGUGGGGAAUAUUGCACAAUGGGCGCAAGCCUGAUGCAGCGACCCCGCGUGAGGGAUGACGGCCUUCGGGUUGAAAACCUCUUUCAGUAGGGAAGAAGCGAGAGUGACGGUACCUGCAGAAGAAGCGCCGGCUAACUACGUGCCAGCAGCCGCGGUAAUACGUAGGGCGCAAGCGUUAUCCGGAAUUAUUGGGCGUAAAGAGCUCGUAGGCGGUUUGUCGCGUCUGCCGUGAAAGUCCGGGGCUCAACUCCGGAUCUGCGGUGGGUACGGGCACACUAGAGUGAUGUAGGGGAGACUGGAAUUCCUGGUGUAGCGGUGAAAUGCGCAGAUAUCAAGAGGAACACCGAUGGCGAAGGCAGGUCUCUGGGCAUUAACUGACGCUGAAGAGCGAAAGCAUGGGGAGCGAACAGGAUUAUAUACCCUGGUAGUCCAUGCCGUAAACGUUGGCCACUACGUGUGGGGGACAUUCCACGUUUUCCGCGCCGUAGCUAACGCAUUAAGUGCCCCGCCUGNNNAGUACCGCCGCAAGGCUAAACUCAACGAAUUGACGGGGUCNGCCCAGACG
RNAcentral lists this ribosomal RNA (788 nucleotides) under Pseudarthrobacter niigatensis. RNAcentral describes it as "bacterial SSU rRNA". It matches the Rfam family "Bacterial small subunit ribosomal RNA", at positions 129 to 931 of the family's 1533-position model. Lineage: Bacteria; Bacillati; Actinomycetota; Actinomycetes; Micrococcales; Micrococcaceae. The record is from RNAcentral.